RNAcentral lists this ribosomal RNA (164 nucleotides) under uncultured bacterium. RNAcentral describes it as "partial 16S rRNA". It matches the Rfam family "Bacterial small subunit ribosomal RNA", at positions 355 to 511 of the family's 1533-position model. The record is from RNAcentral.
UAGGGAAUCUUCCACAAUGGGCGAGAGCCUGAUGGAGCAACGCCGCGUGUGUGAUGAAGGGUUUCGGCUCGUAAAACACUGUUGUAAGAGAAGAAUGACAUUGAGAGUAACUGUUCAAUGUGUGACGGUAUCUUACCGGAAAGGAACGGCUAAAUACGUACCAG